Molecule: ribosomal RNA, 231 nt
Filed under: Escherichia coli
Lineage: Bacteria; Pseudomonadati; Pseudomonadota; Gammaproteobacteria; Enterobacterales; Enterobacteriaceae
Description: partial 16S ribosomal RNA
Rfam family: Bacterial small subunit ribosomal RNA
Source: RNAcentral
UCCGGAUUGGAGUCUGCAACUCGACUCCAUGAAGUCGGAAUCGCUAGUAAUCGUGGAUCAGAAUGCCACGGUGAAUACGUUCCCGGGCCUUGUACACACCGCCCGUCACACCAUGGGAGUGGGUUGCAAAAGAAGUAGGUAGCUUAACCUUCGGGAGGGCGCUUACCACUUUGUGAUUCAUGACUGGGGUGAAGUCGUAACAAGGUAACCGUAGGGGAACCUGCGGUUGGA